CCCAAAGAAUAAGUGUUUUUGUUCUUGUCCGAGGGUGGCAAGCAAUCUAAGUAGAGCUCAUUUUUAACUUUUGUUAAAACGUUUAAUUUUGUUAUGUAUUGAGCAAAGGAGACGAUUUGCAUGGAUGGAAAUGACCGAAACGCAUUUACGAACAAGUGGUUCAACAUAUCUCAACGAGUUGGAUGUCCUUGAAGUCAAUAGAUGCAUGCUGACAAUAAAGGUGCAAAAUAUAGAAAUAGAAUGACAGAUUCUAUUUCUGUGGUGCCAAGAUCCAUGGAUCCCUCUCAGCUCUGCUGCAAUUGGUUUACUGGUGGUUCAGCAUCUCAUCGAGUAAGAUGUCCUUGAUGAAGUCUCAUGAUGGGGGCCAUUGAGACGAGAUGCAUGAUGACAAUGAAGCGGCAAAGCAUAUAAAUAGUAUCACAUAGAUUCUAUUUCUGUGGCGCCAAGAUCCAUGGAUCCCUCUCACCUCUGCUUUAAUUGGUCUACUGGAUGGGAACGAUAUCUGAACAAGUCAAUGUCCUUGAAGUCACAUGAUGGGGGCCAUUGAGAUGAGAUGCAUGAUGACAAUGAAGGGGCAAAGCAUAUAAAUAGUAUCACAUAGAUUCUAUUUCUGUGGCGCCAAGAUCCAUGGAUCCCUCUCACCUCUGCUGUAAUUGGCCAACCUGGAGGUGAUGCCCCGUGCUCUGCUGUGCCCCUCAUCAGCCCAGUGGGUUCUGACUCGUCAGUUGAUGAACUUCCUCUCUUGUUAGGUUUCGUACCACAUCCUGGUUCCAAGACUUGUCCUGAUGGAGUGAAGGAGCAGAAUCGGACUAACCGUUGAUGUUUUGACUGAUGUAUUUUCAUAGAAAUAGAUUAAAUGGUAUCUAAAGGGGUGUAUUGUCAUCAGGAGAACCAUUGUCAAAGAUUCAGUGAAGUAUGUUAUUAUCCACUUCCUCAAGGAGAAGGUAGCAAGCAACAAAUGCUACAACCAUGAAAAAUGUGUUCAUGACAGAAUGUUAUUGCAAUGACCUUGCAGAGGGUUCUGUAACAACUUGACUCUCAGCCAAGACCAUAUCACAUUUGUAUGAAUGUAUUUCUGGAACAUGCUGUUCUCUUGGUGGAGUAAACUGUGGCAUGAUGUCAGAACUGUAGUUUGGCCAUGAUUCAUCAAUAAAACUAAACAAAUUCAUUGUA
Long non-coding RNA from Coregonus clupeaformis (lake whitefish), 1173 nucleotides. RefSeq lists it as uncharacterized. NCBI's taxonomy places the organism in Eukaryota, Metazoa, Chordata, Actinopteri, Salmoniformes, Salmonidae. The record is from RefSeq and is a predicted model, not a curated record. The transcript is spliced from 5 exons.